RNAcentral lists this unclassified non-coding RNA (313 nucleotides) under plant metagenome. Its description in RNAcentral is "partial contains 5.8S ribosomal RNA, internal transcribed spacer 2, and large subunit ribosomal RNA". The stretch from base 1 to 104 matches the Rfam family "5.8S ribosomal RNA", at positions 51 to 154 of the family's 154-position model. The record is from RNAcentral.
GAAUGCGAUAAUUAAUGUGAAUUGCAGAAUUCAGUGAAUCAUCGAGUCUUUGAACGCACAUUGCGCCCCCUGGUAUUCCGGGGGGCAUGCCUGUCCGAGCGUCAUUGCUGCCCUCAAGCACGGCUUGUGUGUUGGGCUUCCGUCCCUGGCAACGGGGACGGGCCCAAAAGGCAGUGGCGGCACCAUGUCUGGUCCUCGAGCGUAUGGGGCUUUGUCACCCGCUCCCGUAGGUCCAGCUGGCAGCUAGCCUCGCAACCAAUCUUUUUAACCAGGUUGACCUCGGAUCAGGUAGGGAUACCCGCUGAACUUAAGC